This 226-nucleotide long non-coding RNA is filed under the name Setaria italica (foxtail millet). Its description in RNAcentral is "long non-coding RNA (SITA_LNC006763)". Lineage: Eukaryota; Viridiplantae; Streptophyta; Magnoliopsida; Poales; Poaceae. The record is from RNAcentral.
GCCAUAGGCAAUGGGCUAAUCAUUUCUAGCCCCCGGCAUGCGAAGGGCCAGGAGGGUGGUAUAGUGAUUAACUUGUAGGCAGGGACGUGUUGUUGCGUAGUGAAGAAUUGACACCCUUGGUAUUGGCAGACUAGUUCUUCGGUAUCAGCGAGAGCUAUAGGCCAAUAGAACCCUAUCCUGAAAGCCUUGUCCAUGAUCAUUCGUGAGGAUGCAUGGUUGUCGUAGG